GUCCACGCCGUAAACGAUGAAUGCCAGCCGUUAGUGGGUUUACUCACUAGUGGCGCAGCUAACGCUUUAAGCAUUCCGCCUGGGGAGUACGGUCGCAAGAUUAAAACUCAAAGGAAUUGACGGGGGCCCCGCACAAGCGGUGGAGCAUGUGGUUUAAUUCGACGCAACGCGCAGAACCUUACCAGCCCUUGACAUCCCGGUCGCGGACUCCAGAGACGGAGUUCUUCAGUUCGGCUGGACCGGAGACAGGUGCUGCAUGGCUGUCGU
Molecule: ribosomal RNA, 267 nt
Filed under: uncultured bacterium
Lineage: Bacteria
Description: partial 16S ribosomal RNA
Rfam family: Bacterial small subunit ribosomal RNA
Source: RNAcentral